CCCCUAAAGCACUUUGCUUGCUGAAAUGCUUAGUGGGUGAAAGGUGUAACUUCUUUUUUUAAUUUUUCAAAAUUUCAUUAGAAAUCAGCACUUUUAUUAAUUAGCCUUGUAACACCCCCUGGCUAUGUUACUUCCUGGUUUGGGUAGCUCAGUGGAGCUAACCUCAAGGGGCAGGCAAUUGCUUUGAUCACAUUCCUUGCAAAGGAAGCAUCAAACUGACAUGACCACUUUGAGAAGGGUGCAUGUCAUUGAUGAUGACACAACACACCAUCUCAUAUUGUGCUACUUACUCUUGUGCUACGCCAUUAAAUGCCCAGACCAUUUCUUUUGCCCUAGUCUGGCCCUAGUUGUAGUGGUUAUAAUGCUUGGAGUGUUUUUUUUUUUUUUUUUUAAAGUUUAAUUGCACUGGUGUGUGAAGGUGCUUUUAAAUGUG
This is a non-coding RNA of Pelobates cultripes (western spadefoot toad), 433 nucleotides long. The record is from the annotation of a GenBank genome assembly. NCBI's taxonomy places the organism in Eukaryota, Metazoa, Chordata, Amphibia, Anura, Pelobatidae.